RNAcentral lists this ribosomal RNA (514 nucleotides) under uncultured bacterium. RNAcentral's name for it is "partial 16S ribosomal RNA". It matches the Rfam family "Bacterial small subunit ribosomal RNA", at positions 28 to 523 of the family's 1533-position model. The record is from RNAcentral.
GACGAACGCUGGCGGCGUGCCUAAUACAUGCAAGUCGAGCGGACCGAAGGGAGCUUGCUCCUUUAGGUUAGCGGCGGACGGGUGAGUAACACGUGGGCAACCUGCCCUGCAGACUGGGAUAACUUCGGGAAACCGGAGCUAAUACCGGAUAACACCGAAAACCGCAUGGUUUUCGGUUGAAAGGCGGCUUUUAGCUGUCACUGCAGGCUGGGCCCGCGGCGCAUUAGCUAGUUGGUGAGGUAACGGCUCACCAAGGCGACGAUGCGUAGCCGACCUGAGAGGGUGACCGGCCACACUGGGACUGAGGCACGGCCCAGACUCCUACGGGAGGCAGCAGUAGGGAAUCUUCCGCAAUGGACGAAAGUCUGACGGAGCAACGCCGCGUGAGCGAAGAAGGUCUUCGGAUCGUAAAGCUCUGUUGUCAGGGAAGAACAAGUACCGUUCGAAUAGGGCGGUACCUUGACGGUACCUGACGAGGAAGCCACGGCUAACUACGUGCCAGCCGCCGCCGUAA